GCAUUUAUUUGUUCAUCUAAGCAGUGCAUAUACUGAAAUGUGAAGGAUACAGAGAAGAUUAAUAUGACCUCUGCGAAGUCUGAAAUACAGAUUCAUGAAGUGCUUCAUUAAAAA
Small nuclear RNA from Ictidomys tridecemlineatus (thirteen-lined ground squirrel), 114 nucleotides. NCBI's taxonomy places the organism in Eukaryota, Metazoa, Chordata, Mammalia, Rodentia, Sciuridae. The record is from Ensembl.